Non-coding RNA from Pelobates cultripes (western spadefoot toad), 126 nucleotides. The record is from the annotation of a GenBank genome assembly. NCBI's taxonomy places the organism in Eukaryota, Metazoa, Chordata, Amphibia, Anura, Pelobatidae.
UAAAUAUUGACUUUUAAAGUUGCAGUGCUUCUUAAAUAUAUAUAUAUAUAUAUAUAUAUAUAUAUAUAUAUAUAUAUAUAUAUAUAUAUAUUUAAGAAGCACUGCAACUUUAAAAGUCAAUAUUUA